Molecule: ribosomal RNA, 508 nt
Filed under: Glomus sp. MO-G2
Lineage: Eukaryota; Fungi; Glomeromycota; Glomeromycetes; Glomerales; Glomeraceae
Description: SSU rRNA
Rfam family: Eukaryotic small subunit ribosomal RNA
Source: RNAcentral
AGCAGCCGCGGUAAUUCCAGCUCCAAUAGCGUAUAUUAAAGUUGUUGCAGUUAAAAAGCUCGUAGUUGAAUUUCGGGGUCAGUAGGUCGGUCGUGCCACUGGUAUGAACUGGUUUUACUGAUUCCUCCCUCUUGAAGAACUGUAAUGCCAUUAAUUUGGUGUUGCAGGGAAUCAGGACUGUUACUUUGAAAAAAUUAGAGUGUUUAAAGCAGGCUUUAGCUUGAAUACAUUAGCAUGGAAUAAUGAAAUAGGACGUUUGAUCCUAUUUUGUUGGUUUCUAGGAUUGACGUAAUGAUUAAUAGGGAUAGUUGGGGGCAUUAGUAUUCAAUUGUCAGAGGUGAAAUUCUUGGAUUUAUUGAAGACUAACUACUGCGAAAGCAUUUGCCAAGGAUGUUUUCAUUAAUCAAGAACGAAAGUUAGGGGAUCGAAGACGAUCAGAUACCGUCGUAGUCUUAACCAUAAACUAUGCCGACUAGGGAUCGGAUGAUGUUAAUUUUUUAAUGASUCA